UGCGCAGCUACCAUGCAGUCGAGCGGAGUUGUGGUGCUUGCACCAUAACUUAGCGGCGGACGGGUGAGUAAUGCUUAGGAAUCUGCCUAUUAGUGGGGGACAACAUCUCGAAAGGGAUGCUAAUACCGCAUACGCCCUACGGGGGAAAGCAGGGGAUCUUCGGACCUUGCGCUAAUAGAUGAGCCUAAGUCGGAUUAGCUAGUUGGUGGGGUAAAGGCCUACCAAGGCGACGAUCUGUAGCGGGUCUGAGAGGAUGAUCCGCCACACUGGGACUGAGACACGGCCCAGACUCCUACGGGAGGCAGCAGUGGGGAAUAUUGGACAAUGGGGGGAACCCUGAUCCAGCCAUGCCGCGUGUGUGAAGAAGGCCUUUUGGUUGUAAAGCACUUUAAGCGAGGAGGAGGCUACUUAGAUUAAUACUCUAAGAUAGUGGACGUUACUCGCAGAAUAAGCACCGGCUAACUCUGUGCCAGCAGCCGCGGUAAUACAGAGGGUGCGAGCGUUAAUCGGAUUUACUGGGCGUAAAGCGUGCGUAGGCGGCUUUUUAAGUCGGAUGUGAAAUCCUUGAGCUUAACUUAGGAAUUGCAUUCGAUACUGGGAAGCUAGAGUAUGGGAGAGGAUGGUAGAAUUCCAGGUGUAGCGGUGAAAUGCGUAGAGAUCUGGAGGAAUACCGAUGGCGAAGGCAGCCAUCUGGCCUAAUACUGACGCUGAGGUACGAAAGCAUGGGGAGCAAACAGGAUUAGAUACCCUGGUAGUCCAUGCCGUAAACGAUGUCUACUAGCCGUUG
This 787-nucleotide ribosomal RNA is filed under the name uncultured bacterium. Its description in RNAcentral is "bacterial SSU rRNA". It matches the Rfam family "Bacterial small subunit ribosomal RNA", at positions 43 to 825 of the family's 1533-position model. The record is from RNAcentral.